GCAUCAUCUUUUUUUAUUUUUCUCUUCAGGAGGCGCAGAGAGAAGCUCCAGGCACACCUUAAGGAAAGUCGCACUUUGAAAAACUACACUGCUAAUUCCCUCAAUGCCCUGGAUGCCAAGAUGAGGGCCCCGAACACGAACCUGCAAAUGCAUGAGUACUGCAAACGGUCCUCCCAGUCUCGCCAGGGAAACGUUUGUGCGUCCAGCUUUGCACACUGCAACAUCUCCACUACGCCGUCCACCAGCUCCAGAGGCACAGCGAAGCAUCACAGAAGUGCUUCCUUGUCUCACAGCCCGGAUCAGAGAACCCGGGCAGCCCACUGGUCAGCUCCACGCAGGACCCCACCCAUACCCAGGGGAAGGCUAAAUCCGAUUGGAGGAUCCAAGUAUUCAGGCCACGCCUACCAACACCUUCAGGAAGUGGAC
RNAcentral lists this long non-coding RNA (426 nucleotides) under Sander lucioperca (pikeperch). RNAcentral's name for it is "lncRNA (ENSSLUG00000009764.1)". The record is from RNAcentral. Lineage: Eukaryota; Metazoa; Chordata; Actinopteri; Perciformes; Percidae.